CCGGACUCCUACGGGAGGCAGCAGUGAGGAAUAUUGGUCAAUGGCCGCAGGGCUGAACCAGCCAAGUCGCGUGAGGGAUGACGGUCCUAUGGAUUGUAAACCUCUUUUGUCAGGGAGCAAAGGGCGCCACGUGUGGCGUUUUGCGAGUACCUGAAGAAAAAGCAUCGGCUAACUCCGUGCCAGCAGCCGCGGUAAUACGGAGGAUGCGAGCGUUAUCCGGAUUUAUUGGGUUUAAAGGGUGCGCAGGCGGCCUGUUAAGUCAGCGGUAAAGGCCGGGGGCUCAACCCCGGCGAGCCGUUGAAACUGGCGGGCUGGAGUUGGAGAGAAGUACGCGGAAUGCGCGGUGUAGCGGUGAAAUGCUUAGAUAUCGCGCAGAACCCCGAUUGCGAAGGCAGCGUACCGGCUCCACACUGACGCUGAGGCACGAAAGCGUGGGUAUCGAACAGGAUUAGAUACCCCAGUA
Molecule: ribosomal RNA, 463 nt
Filed under: uncultured bacterium
Lineage: Bacteria
Description: bacterial SSU rRNA
Rfam family: Bacterial small subunit ribosomal RNA
Source: RNAcentral